RNAcentral lists this ribosomal RNA (237 nucleotides) under Triticum aestivum (bread wheat). Its description in RNAcentral is "partial small subunit ribosomal RNA". Lineage: Eukaryota; Viridiplantae; Streptophyta; Magnoliopsida; Poales; Poaceae. The record is from RNAcentral.
AUGGCCGCGGCGGAGCGGCUCCGAUCGGUGCCGUUCGACGUGGAUAUCACGGUGCCCGUGCGGCUGCAGCUCGGCGGCGUGAGGACGUGGGUCGUGCCGGUGACGGUUCGGUGCGCCAUGACGGUGGACAGGCUCGCCGCCAGCGCCAAGGUGGUGUCCAGGCCGUGCGACGUCAAUGUGUCGUUCUUGUUCCGUUCUGGAGGAACUGACGCCGCCGAUGCAAGAAAAAAUGGCUAA